UAAACCUUAAGUUAUAUAAACUGAGAGCCUUCCAAGCUUUAAAAAAGAGUCCUUAGGUUUAA
Molecule: transfer RNA, 62 nt
Filed under: Pseudoniphargus gorbeanus
Lineage: Eukaryota; Metazoa; Arthropoda; Malacostraca; Amphipoda; Allocrangonyctidae
Description: tRNA-Gly
Source: RNAcentral